GGCCGAUUGGUUGACAGCCGGCUGCCUUGCCUUAAGAAGCAGGGCGUCUGAUGUCAAGCCGCCUCUCCCUCUGCCGACUGCCUGCCUGCCUGCCUG
Molecule: long non-coding RNA, 96 nt
Filed under: Sus scrofa (pig)
Lineage: Eukaryota; Metazoa; Chordata; Mammalia; Artiodactyla; Suidae
Description: lncRNA (ENSSSCG00070007440.1)
Source: RNAcentral